This 646-nucleotide ribosomal RNA is filed under the name uncultured Alphaproteobacteria bacterium. Its description in RNAcentral is "bacterial SSU rRNA". It matches the Rfam family "Bacterial small subunit ribosomal RNA", at positions 49 to 743 of the family's 1533-position model. The record is from RNAcentral. Lineage: Bacteria; Pseudomonadati; Pseudomonadota; Alphaproteobacteria.
UAAUACAUGCAAGUCGAGCGCACCUUCGGGUGAGCGGCGGACGGGUGAGUAACGCGUGGGAACGUGCCCUUUGGUACGGGAUAACUGAGGGAAACUUCAGCUAAUACCGUAUGUGCCCUACGGGGGAAAGAUUUAUCGCCAUUGGAGCGGCCCGCGUUGGAUUAGGUAGUUGGUGGGGUAAAGGCCCACCAAGCCGACGAUCCAUAGCUGGUCUGAGAGGAUGAUCAGCCACACUGGGACUGAGACACGGCCCAGACUCCUACGGGAGGCAGCAGUAGGGAAUCUUGCGCAAUGGGCGAAAGCCUGACGCAGCCAUGCCGCGUGAAUGAUGAAGGUCUUAGGAUUGUAAAAUUCUUUCACCGGGGAAGAUAAUGACGGUACCCGGAGAAGAAGCCCCGGCUAACUUCGUGCCAGCAGCCGCGGUAAUACGAAGGGGGCUAGCGUUGCUCGGAAUUACUGGGCGUAAAGGGCGCGUAGGCGGAUGUUUAAGUCGGGGGUGAAAGCCCGGGGCUCAACCUCGGAAUUGCCUUCGAUACUGGACAUCUUGAGUACGGGAGAGGUGAGUGGAACUCCGAGUGUAGAGGUGAAAUUCGUAGAUAUUCGGAAGAACACCAGUGGCGAAGGCGACUCACUGGCCCGUUACUGA